RNAcentral lists this small nucleolar RNA (104 nucleotides) under Ascochyta rabiei. Lineage: Eukaryota; Fungi; Ascomycota; Dothideomycetes; Pleosporales; Didymellaceae. The record is from RNAcentral. RNAcentral also lists the same sequence under 1 other name.
UUCUAUGAUGAUUAUUUGAUAUUCACACUGUGUGACGCGGCGGCUUCGUAACGGUUGUCGUCGCCCUGAUCACUUUAAAAAAUCUGAUUUAAUGAGGUAUGUUG